Molecule: ribosomal RNA, 465 nt
Filed under: uncultured bacterium
Lineage: Bacteria
Description: bacterial SSU rRNA
Rfam family: Bacterial small subunit ribosomal RNA
Source: RNAcentral
CCAGACUCCUACGGGAGGCAGCAGUGAGGAAUAUUGGUCAAUGGGCGCAAGCCUGAACCAGCCAAGUCGCGUGAGGGAAGACGGCCCUACGGGUUGUAAACCCCUUUUGCCGGGGAGCAGGCCUGAGCACGUGUGCCCAGGCGGAGAGUACCCGGAGAAAAAGCAUCGGCUAACUCCGUGCCAGCAGCCGCGGUAAUACGGGGGAUGCAAGCGUUGUCCGGAAUCAUUGGGCGUAAAGAGUUCGUAGGUGGCACGUUAAGUCUGGUGUUAAAUGCAGAGGCUCAACCUCUGUUCGGCACUGGAUACUGGCGAGCUUGAAUGCGGUAGAGGUAAAGGGAAUUCCUGGUGUAGCGGUGAAAUGCGUAGAUAUCAGGAGGAACAUCGGUGGCGUAAGCGCUUUACUGGGCCGUAAUUGACACUGAGGAACGAAAGCCAGGGUAGCAAAUGGGAUUAGAUACCCCAGUA